This 253-nucleotide ribosomal RNA is filed under the name uncultured bacterium. RNAcentral describes it as "partial 16S ribosomal RNA". It matches the Rfam family "Bacterial small subunit ribosomal RNA", at positions 524 to 776 of the family's 1533-position model. The record is from RNAcentral.
UACGGAGGGGGCAAGCGUUGUUCGGAAUUACUGGGCGUAAAGCGCACGUAGGCGGAUGCACAAGUUGGGGGUGAAAGCCCAGGGCUUAACCCUGGAACUGCCUUCAAGACUGUGCGUCUUGAGUUCGAGAGAGGUAAGGGGAAUUCCUAGUGUAGAGGUGAAAUUCGUAGAUAUUAGGAAGAACACCGGUGGCGAAGGCGCCUUACUGGCUCGAUACUGACGCUGAGGUGCGAAAGCGUGGGGAGCAAACAGG